This 497-nucleotide ribosomal RNA is filed under the name uncultured bacterium. Its description in RNAcentral is "partial 16S ribosomal RNA". It matches the Rfam family "Bacterial small subunit ribosomal RNA", at positions 28 to 507 of the family's 1533-position model. The record is from RNAcentral.
GAUGAACGCUGGCGGCGUGCCUAAUACAUGCAAGUCGAGCGAACGGACGAGAAGCUUGCUUUUCUGAUGUUAGCGGCGGACGGGUGAGUAACACGUGGAUAACCUACCUAUAAGACUGGGAUAACUUCGGGAAACCGGAGCUAAUACCGGAUAAUAUUUUGAACCGCAUGGUUCAAAAUUGAAAGACGGUCUUGCUUUCACUUAUAGAUGGAUCCGCGCUGCAUUAGCUAGUUGGUAAGGUAACGGCUUACCAAGGCAACGAUGCAUAGCCGACCUGAGAGGGUGAUCGGCCACACUGGAACUGAGACACGGUCCAGACUCCUACGGGAGGCAGCAGUAGGGAAUCUUCCGCAAUGGGCGAAAGCCUGACGGAGCAACGCCGCGUGAGUGAUGAAGGUCUUCGGAUCGUAAAACUCUGUUAUUAGGGAAGAACAUAUGUGUAAGUAACUGUGCACAUCUUGACGGUACCUAAUCAGAAAGCCACGGCUAACUACGUG